Molecule: small RNA, 126 nt
Filed under: Cebus imitator (Panamanian white-faced capuchin)
Lineage: Eukaryota; Metazoa; Chordata; Mammalia; Primates; Cebidae
Description: 7SK RNA (ENSCCAG00000008910.1)
Rfam family: 7SK RNA
About the family: 7SK was discovered as an abundant small nuclear RNA in the mid-70s but a possible function has only recently been suggested. Two independent studies have found that 7SK RNA binds the CDK9/cyclin T complex (known as elongation factor P-TEFb).
Source: RNAcentral
ACACUCAGUUGAAGAGGAAGACCAUCCCCGAUAGAGGAGGACUGGCCUUCAGUCAAGGGUAUACAGGUAGCUGCGCUCCCCUGCUAGAACAAGCUCUCAAAAAAGCACUACAGAGGUGGACAGAGC